GCGCCCAUCGUCUAGCGGUCCAGGACGCUGCCCUCUCACGGCGGAAACAGGGGUUCGAUUCCCCUUGGGCGUACCA
This 76-nucleotide transfer RNA is filed under the name Paramesorhizobium salinisoli. RNAcentral describes it as "Phyllobacterium salinisoli tRNA-Glu". It matches the Rfam family "tRNA". Rfam says of the family: Transfer RNA (tRNA) molecules are approximately 80 nucleotides in length. Their secondary structure includes four short double-helical elements and three loops (D, anti-codon, and T loops). The record is from RNAcentral. Lineage: Bacteria; Pseudomonadati; Pseudomonadota; Alphaproteobacteria; Hyphomicrobiales; Phyllobacteriaceae.